Small nucleolar RNA from Eptesicus fuscus (big brown bat), 131 nucleotides. The record is from RefSeq and is a predicted model, not a curated record. NCBI's taxonomy places the organism in Eukaryota, Metazoa, Chordata, Mammalia, Chiroptera, Vespertilionidae.
GUACUGCUUUUGAGACCCCGCUGCGCCUGCGCGUGUUGCUGGGAGUCAGGCUGCAGCGCCAGAGCACGUGUGUGCGCAGAACUGCGGCCCAGGCUCCCUGCUGGCGGCCCUUCUGACCCCAAGCAGCACUG